UCAGGGUUGUACAUGUAUAAAAGGAACAUGGCUGUAUUUAUCAGUAUCUGAAACUUCACAGAUUUCAACAGAGCAGAUUUCGAAAAUGCAGACCAAAGUCCUCGUUGUUAUGUUGAUGGUAGCCACGGUGCUAAUGGUAGAGGUCAAAGGUGCACGAUUGACGAACGAUUGUCUCGACAUCUGUCGCCGAAGAAUUGACAGAUGUAAAUCAAAUUGUAAUCAGAACAACAAGAACAAAAACAAAAGAAAGAAGUGCAAGGACGUCUGUAGAAAAUCUAAUAACCAAUGUAAAAAGUUCUGCCGCAACGACGACCCUACUGAUGAUUUUACUUACGAUUACUAACACUUUUGUGAAAUGAGUGGUUCUUGAACAUUCCUUGGUGUGUUUAAUUGAAUUUCUAUUUCUGUUUAACCUGACUUAUUAAAAAAAUAAUUGGGAAACAUAAUGUAAAAGGGUUUACAUACGUGCAAUCUCCAUAUCUUCGUCUAUAUAUUUAAGGUUUGAAUAAAAGCAUAUUUAUAUA
Mytilus californianus (California mussel) is the source of this 524-nucleotide long non-coding RNA. RefSeq lists it as uncharacterized. Lineage: Eukaryota; Metazoa; Mollusca; Bivalvia; Mytilida; Mytilidae. The record is from RefSeq and is a predicted model, not a curated record. The transcript has 2 exons.